AAAGCAUUCUCUGGUGUUGAAGGCCCUGCAAAGCAGCAUCGCGGUGGCGGAGCGUCGUUUGCGACGCCCAACACACAAAACAAGCGGUGAAUGCUUUGGGGUGGGGUGACUGCGUACCUUUUGUAUAAUGGGUCAGCGACUUAUAUUCUGUAGCAAGGUUAACCGAAUAGGGGAGCCGGAGGGAAACCGAGUCUUAAUUGGGCGUUAAGUUGCAGGGUAUAGACCCGAAACCCGGUGAUCUAGCCAUGGGCAGGUUGAAGGUUGGGUAACACUAACUGGAGGACCGAACCGACUAAUGUUGAAAAAUUAGCGGAUGACCUGUGGCUGGGGGUGAAAGGCCAAUCAAACCGGGAGAUAGCUGGUUCUCCCCGAAAGCUAUUUAGGUAGCGCCUCGUGAAUUCAUCUCCGGGGGUAGAGCACUGUUUCGGCUAGGGGGCCAUCCCGGCUUACCAACCCGAUGCAAACUGCGAAUACCGGAGAAUGUUAUCACGGGAGACACACGGCGGGUGCUAACGUCCGUCGUGAAGAGGGAAACAACCCAGACCGCCAGCUAAGGUCCCAAAGUCAUGGUUAAGUGGGAAACGAUGUGGGAAGGCCCAGACAGCCAGGAUGUUGGCUUAGAAGCAGCCAUCAUUUAAAGAAAGCGUAAUAGCUCACUGGUCGAGUCGGCCUGCGCGGAAGAUGUAACGGGGCUAAACCAUGCACCGAAGCUGCGGCAGCGAACGUAUCACCCAAGACAACUUUACGGAGUUGACGAUUGACGGAGCGAAGCGACGUCAAAGCGUUCAUUAAAGUCGAGUUGGCUUAGGGAUACGUUCGUUGGGUAGGGGAGCGUUCUGUAAGCCUGUGAAGGUGUGUCGUGAGGCAUGCUGGAGGUAUCAGAAGUGCGAAUGCUGACAUAAGUAACGAUAAAGCGGGUGAAAAGCCCGCUCGCCGGAAGACCAAGGGUUCCUGUCCAACGUUAAUCGGGGCAGGGUGAGUCGACCCCUAAGGCGAGGCCGAAAGGCGUAGUCGAUGGGAAACGGGUUAAUAUUCCCGUACUUGGUGUU
RNAcentral lists this ribosomal RNA (1049 nucleotides) under Salmonella enterica subsp. enterica serovar Typhimurium. Its description in RNAcentral is "partial 23S ribosomal RNA". It matches the Rfam family "Bacterial large subunit ribosomal RNA", at positions 566 to 1452 of the family's 2925-position model. The record is from RNAcentral. Lineage: Bacteria; Pseudomonadati; Pseudomonadota; Gammaproteobacteria; Enterobacterales; Enterobacteriaceae.